CUUGUACUGUGAACUGCGAAUGGCUCAUUAAAUCAGUUAUCGUUUAUUUGAUAGUACCUUACUACAUGGAUACCUGUGGUAAUUCUAGAGCUAAUACAUGCUAAAAACCCCGACUUCAGGAAGGGGUGUAUUUAUUAGAUAAAAAACCAACGCCCUUCGGGGCUCCUUGGUGAAUCAUAAUAACUUAACGAAUCGCAUGGCCUUGCGCCGGCGAUGGUUCAUUCAAAUUUCUGCCCUAUCAACUUUCGAUGGUAGGAUAGUGGCCUACCAUGGUGGCAACGGGUAACGGGGAAUUAGGGUUCGAUUCCGGAGAGGGAGCCUGAGAAACGGCUACCACAUCCAAGGAAGGCAGCAGGCGCGCAAAUUACCCAAUCCCGAUACGGGGAGGUAGUGACAAUAAAUACUGAUACGGGGCUCUUUUGGGUCUCGUAAUUGGAAUGAGAACAAUUUAAAUCCCUUAACGAGGAACAAUUGGAGGGCAAGUCUGGUGCCAGCAGCCGCGGUAAUUCCAGCUCCAAUAGCGUAUAUUAAAGUUGUUGCAGUUAAAAAGCUCGUAGUUGAACCUUGGGUCUGGCUGACCGGUCCGCCUCACCGCGAGUACUGGUUCGGCUGGACCUUUCCUUCUGGGGAACCUCAUGGCCUUCACUGGCUGUGGGGGGAACCAGGACUUUUACUGUGAAAAAAUUAGAGUGUUCAAAGCAGGCCUUUGCUCGAAUACAUUAGCAUGGAAUAAUAGAAUAGGACGUGCGGUUCUAUUUUGUUGGUUUCUAGGACCGCCGUAAUGAUUAAUAGGGAUAGUCGGGGGCGUCAGUAUUCAGCUGUCAGAGGUGAAAUUCUUGGAUUUGCUGAAGACUAACUACUGCGAAAGCAUUCGCCAAGGAUGUUUUCAUUAAUCAGGGAACGAAAGUUAGGGGAUCGAAGACGAUCAGAUACCGUCGUAGUCUUAACCAUAAACUAUGCCGACUAGGGAUCGGACGGGAUUCUAUGAUGACCCGUUCGGCACCUUACGAGAAAUCAAAGUUU
This 1023-nucleotide ribosomal RNA is filed under the name Penicillium spinulosum. RNAcentral describes it as "SSU rRNA". It matches the Rfam family "Eukaryotic small subunit ribosomal RNA", at positions 73 to 1106 of the family's 1831-position model. Lineage: Eukaryota; Fungi; Ascomycota; Eurotiomycetes; Eurotiales; Aspergillaceae. The record is from RNAcentral.